Molecule: transfer RNA, 50 nt
Filed under: Calochromus sp. UPOL MT0004
Lineage: Eukaryota; Metazoa; Arthropoda; Insecta; Coleoptera; Lycidae
Description: partial tRNA-Ser
Source: RNAcentral
AAAGAAAUAUAGUAAGAAGCUUCUAACUUCUAAGAGGGCCAUAAGUUCAU